AUUCGGACCGGCGGAGGAAAAUCCCGGCGAGAUUUGAGGUUUCUUUGUCGGCCUUUGGGCAGCGGAGGAGCCAGAAUCCGCUGUUCUUCUUCAGAUCCGUAGCUGAUCGGGAGCUGUUCUGUUUCCGCCGGUUUCUUGAUGCUCUGUCAUGUCUUCGCCUGUAAGAAAGCCGCAAUCUCUGAUGAAGAAGCAGUGGGAUGAGUUGGGAAGCUGUUCCAAGGUUGUUCAGAGACACCGCUUCCUCUUGACAGCUUUGUCUCUUCUCGCCUUCCUCUGUACCGUCUAUCUCUAUUUCGCCGUCACCUUAAGCGCGAGCCUUCCUUGUACGGGCCUCACCGGAAAAGACAAGGCAAUGUGUGAGCUUGAACAUGUCCAGAAGACCACAGCCUCCAAAGGGAAACUCAAGUUUUUGUAGAGUUUUAAUCAUUGUUCUUCUUGAACUUAUCAUUCUUUUUUUUUUGUGCUCUUUCUCUACACGAUUUGCGUGUACUGAAUGGCAGAUAAUAUAUACAACGGCGUUCUCUCUCUCUAUAUAUAUAUCGUUUGAACUUUGAA
This is a long non-coding RNA of Tarenaya hassleriana, 555 nucleotides long. RefSeq lists it as uncharacterized. The record is from RefSeq and is a predicted model, not a curated record. NCBI's taxonomy places the organism in Eukaryota, Viridiplantae, Streptophyta, Magnoliopsida, Brassicales, Cleomaceae. The transcript has 2 exons.